GUGGCGAUAGCGAAGAGGUCACACCCGUUCCCAUGCCGAACACGGAAGUUAAGCUCUUCAGCGCCGAUGGUAGUCGGGGGUUUCCCCCUGUGAGAGUAGGACGCCGCCAAGC
RNAcentral lists this ribosomal RNA (112 nucleotides) under Bacillus subtilis. Lineage: Bacteria; Bacillati; Bacillota; Bacilli; Caryophanales; Bacillaceae. The record is from RNAcentral. RNAcentral also lists the same sequence under 4 other names.